AUUGCUGGGAUUGAAGAUGAACAGAGGUUGGAGGUCCUAAAUCCAUCAAAUCAUAAUGUAAGGAGGAUAGUCUGUUAAAACUAUCUGAUUUGAUUUCUGAACCUAAACCGGCCCUUAUUACUUUCUUUGCACUAGUAGAAAAUAACAUCCAGGAAAGAAAACCCUGGAUUUUUGUUUUUCUUAUUUUCCUUAACCCGGAAAUAUUUGAUCCUGAAUUUUUGUUGUUUUACAACUAAAAUAUCGUGUAGAAAUCUGAUUCUUCCCAAUCAAUUAGUCAUCUUACCCAAAUGUUAGUCUGAUAUGUGAUUAAGUGAGCUUUAAAGUAUUAUUUAAAUAUUUGGCGCAUGCGCAUAAAUCGAACAAUAAAAAUAUAUAUAAGACAGAUCUGGUGAAGCUCAUGUGUGAGCCUGCUCUUGGAGCCUAUUUUCACAGUUAGUGGAUCUUAUAUAUUUGUGGCGCAAAGCGGGAAGGACUUAAUGCCCAGCGUCUCAGAAUUAAUUGGGUUCAAGAUAUCAUUGUGGUUGUUUCUGUUGUUUGGAGGUAUUAGGGGCUUUGCAGCAGAUAGAGGGAAAAAGUUAAUGACCAAAGCCUCGAGAUUAAUUGGGUUCAGAAUAUCAUUGCGGUUACAAGUUGUGGUGGAUGUAGCGUUACCAAGUCAACCACUGGAGGUAUUCAGGUGAUGGCUUCGGUAACGAGUCAAUUAGGGUAUUUGAAUGCAAUGUUAUAAUCUUAUUCAUAUAAUGCUGUCAUUAUUUUGAACAAGAUAAUUAAUUGUUUGGUUUUUCAGGUUCGAUGAAGAUUGUUAUGUUCAUUAAGAUUGUUAUUUAUUUUUUUAUUUUUUAUUUCCCACUUGAAUUGAUGGACAGGAAGAAAACUAAAGAAGAGUAAAAUGGCCUAGGACCAAUAUCUUGACCUAUAAUGUCUUGGAGAUCAGGGUCUGGGCUAAAUCUUUCUACUAAACAUAUAGCAAAUUUGAGUUUGAAUUUUAUAUAUUUUUCUUCCUUUUAUCUUCUCUUGUUUGAUUCUCGCACUUGUGUUGAAGUUAUUGGAGGUUCAUUGCAAGGCAAUAGUUCUUUUGGAAUUGAAAAAAGUUGUGGGCUGUAUUUAAUAUCAAGUGCAACUGCAGCAGAAUAAUAAAAUUAGGCAAACUUCUUAAAUUAUUUUCACCAUUACUGCAGAAGUUCUGUUCUUGCAGUUUUUGCAGUUGAUUUGGCAAUAGUAAUUGUCCACUUAAUGCAGGAUUGCUGAUGUUAUGCCUUAAUUGUCUAGAAUACUUCCUAAGACGCUCUAGAAUUCAUUAUGUCAAUGUUAUAUAUGCUUAUAAUGCAUACUGGUGAAUUGCUAAGUAUUUAUCUUCUUUUUUAAAAAUAUUAUUUGAAAUAUUCUGUUGUUAGAUAAGUUACUGGUUUAAAAUGUGCACUAAAAGAUUCACCUCUAUUUAUGCUUUGACAAGAAUUUGGGUUCUAUAUACGUGCAAACGUAAGCAUAAUUAUCAUAUUGUCUUCAUGAUCAUAAGUCAGUACGUUCCCAUCUCCUAAUCAACCUUAUUCAUAAUGUUCACCCAUUGCACUCGACAGCUUUACUCUGGCUAUGCGGAACAAAAUCAAGCACAAAGUAAAAAACUUUUUGGUUAGUAGUAGUAGCUUACAACUACUUUCACUAUAAGUAAGACAUUUUUUUUUUUUUGGCUUCAUUGAAUUUCAGUUUGUUAGUUUUUUUUUUUGAAAGAAACUGUCUGUACUUUCUCUCAAUGACUGUGUAUCCUGGAGGAGUUUGGAGGAAUUAUUAGGGGCUUUCUGGUGCCAAGGGGAAGUCUCUAUUUCCGGCCCUCUAGGUUGCACUCCUGGAAUAAAAGAGUCUGACCGUUGUAGUUUAUAUAGUUGGAUUCCUUUCACACCUCUUUCAGCAAAGUGGGAAGAAGGUUACUGCCAAAAGGCUCUAGAUUGAUGGGGUUCAAGAUAUCACUGCUGUUUCUCCUGGUAAAUGUGGCGUUGGCAUGUCGCUUGCUUGAGGUGAAUGUUAUUGACACUGGUGCGGAGACAGUUUUGCAGCUCUGCUAUUGCGUUUGGUUUCAUGCAAACUCUGCCUUAUAUUUAUACAUUAACAAUUGUAAACGCAGUGGGUGCUACAACUGCCAUGGGCGGUGGUGCUGGUUAGAAGUUUCCAACCUUGUCCCAAAUCAUAGAACUGAUGAGGCCGUAAAUCUCGAAGUGACUGAGGAAUGGGACCUGCAAGUUGUGAUUUCUGCAUUACAAGUGACUGAGGAAUGGAUUUAGAAGAGUGAGCAAGAGGGAGGGCAUACCAUCGGCUGUUCAGGUGGCCAGAAUGGUUUUUUAUUGGAAGGUAAUUGAAAUAGCAUCUCAUUGACUGACAGAAGUGGAUGAAUGAUUAAGCGGAUAUUCAUUGUCUUAGUGGCCUUGAUUUCUUCCUAUCUUUAUGUAUAUGGUCAAAUUAUUUGAAUUUGAGGGAAUAUCUUAACAACGGGCAAAGAGUAAAUCAUGUUUUUGUUGCCAUUGUUUAUGCUGUUUUGAUGACAAAACCUAAAAAAUGCGUUCAUAACUUAUUUCCCUCUUCUUUUUUUCUCUUAUUUAUUUAUCUACUUUUUUUUUCCUCGAUUGCACAAGAGCUCCAAGUUGUGAAUGAAGAUGACAGGGUGUGUGAUUAGUUGUGGUCCUUGUGGAAUUUAAUCAUU
Cornus florida is the source of this 2692-nucleotide RNA transcript. RefSeq lists it as uncharacterized. Lineage: Eukaryota; Viridiplantae; Streptophyta; Magnoliopsida; Cornales; Cornaceae. The record is from RefSeq and is a predicted model, not a curated record. The transcript has 3 exons.